RNAcentral lists this long non-coding RNA (234 nucleotides) under Mytilus galloprovincialis (Mediterranean mussel). The record is from RNAcentral. Lineage: Eukaryota; Metazoa; Mollusca; Bivalvia; Mytilida; Mytilidae.
GUAAAUUUAGAAAAUGUUAGUAUUGUCGCCUAUGGCAGAAUAAAUAGUACCGUUUUCCCUUUACCUCGGUGUCAGGAGGUGAUGCCCAAAUCUUUGGUGGAAAUCUCGAAUUGCAGUCUAUAUAAAAUUCCACUAAUAUAUAAUCUGCAUAUAAUAACGUCAUGCAUAUAUCGUCUACCAUUCAUUUUCCAAAGGGUUCUUCAAUCUUAAUAUUUUAGCAGUAUUUGGCACAAC